Molecule: ribosomal RNA, 231 nt
Filed under: Salmonella enterica
Lineage: Bacteria; Pseudomonadati; Pseudomonadota; Gammaproteobacteria; Enterobacterales; Enterobacteriaceae
Also listed under: 2 other names
Description: partial 23S ribosomal RNA
Rfam family: Bacterial large subunit ribosomal RNA
Source: RNAcentral
AAUCCAUAGGUUAAUGAGGCGAACCGGGGGAACUGAAACAUCUAAGUACCCCGAGGAAAAGAAAUCAACCGAGAUUCCCCCAGUAGCGGCGAGCGAACGGGGAGGAGCCCAGAGCCUGAAUCAGCAUGUGUGUUAGUGGAAGCGUCUGGAAAGGCGCGCGAUACAGGGUGACAGCCCCGUACACAAAAGCGCAUGUGCUGUGAGCUCGAUGAGUAGGGCGGGACACGUGGU